GUGCCAGCAGCGGCGGUAAUACGGAGGGUGCAAGCGUUAAUCGGAAUUACUGGGCGUAAAGCGCACGCAGGCGGUCUGUCAAGUCGGAUGUGAAAUCCCCGGGCUCAACCCGGGAACUGCAUUCGAAACUGUCAGGCUGGAGUCUUGUAGAGGGGUAGAAUUCCAGGGUGUAGCGGUGAAAUGCGUAGAGAUCUGGAGGAAUACCGGUGGCGAAGGCGGCCCCCUGGACAAAGACUGACGCUCAGGUGCGAAAGCGUGGGGAGCAAACAGGAUUAGAUACCCUGGUAGUCCACGCCGUAAACGAUGUCUAUUUGGAGGUUGUGCCCUUGGAGGCGUGGCUUCCGGAGCUAACGCGUUAAAUAGACCGCCUGGGGAGUACGGCCGCAAGGUUAAAACUCAAAUGAAUUGACGGGGCCCGCGACAAGCGGUGGAGCAUGUGGUUUAAUUCGAUGCAACGCGAAGAACCUUACCUGGUCUUGACAUCCACAGAAGUUUCAGAGAUGAGAAUGUGCCCUCGGGAACUGUAGAGACAGGUGCG
This 538-nucleotide ribosomal RNA is filed under the name uncultured Salmonella sp. RNAcentral's name for it is "bacterial SSU rRNA". It matches the Rfam family "Bacterial small subunit ribosomal RNA", at positions 505 to 1042 of the family's 1533-position model. The record is from RNAcentral. Lineage: Bacteria; Pseudomonadati; Pseudomonadota; Gammaproteobacteria; Enterobacterales; Enterobacteriaceae.